Molecule: transfer RNA, 84 nt
Filed under: Spirochaetaceae bacterium
Lineage: Bacteria; Pseudomonadati; Spirochaetota; Spirochaetia; Spirochaetales; Spirochaetaceae
Description: tRNA-Leu
Rfam family: tRNA
About the family: Transfer RNA (tRNA) molecules are approximately 80 nucleotides in length. Their secondary structure includes four short double-helical elements and three loops (D, anti-codon, and T loops).
Source: RNAcentral
GCCGGCGUGGCGGAAUUGGUAGACGCAGUAGACUCAAAAUCUACCGCCUUCGCGGGUGUCCCGGUUCGAGUCCGGGCGCCGGUA